UACGGGGGGGGCAAGCGUUGUUCGGAAUUACUGGGCGUAAAGGGCUUGUAGGUGGCCACCUAAGUCAGACGUGAAAUCCCUCGGCUUAACCGGGGAACUGCGUCUGAUACUGGAUGGCUUGAGUGUGGGAGAGGGAUGCGGAAUUCCAGGUGUAGCGGUGAAAUGCGUAGAUAUCUGGAGGAACACCGGUGGCGAAGGCGGCAUCCUGGACCAAUAUUGACGCUGAGGAGCGAAAGCCAGGGGAGCAAACGGG
Molecule: ribosomal RNA, 253 nt
Filed under: uncultured bacterium
Lineage: Bacteria
Description: partial 16S ribosomal RNA
Rfam family: Bacterial small subunit ribosomal RNA
Source: RNAcentral